CGUAACAAGGUCUCCGUUGGUGAACCAGCGGAGGGAUCAUUACAGAGUUGCAAAACUCCCACAAACCAUCGCGAAUCUUACCCGUACGGUUGCCUCGGCGCUGGCGGUCCGGAAGGCCCUCGGGCCCCCCGGAUCCUCGGGUCUCCCGCUCGCGGGAGGCUGCCCGCCGGAGUGCCGAAACCAAACUCUUGAUAUUUUAUGUCUCUCUGAGUAAACUUUUAAAUAAGUCAAAACUUUCAACAACGGAUCUCUUGGUUCUGGCAUCGAUGAAGAACGCAGCGAAAUGCGAUAAGUAAUGUGAAUUGCAGAAUUCAGUGAAUCAUCGAAUCUUUGAACGCACAUUGCGCUCGCCAGUAUUCUGGCGAGCAUGCCUGUUCGAGCGUCAUUUCAACCAUCAAGCUCUGCUUGCGUUGGGGAUCCGCGGCUGUCCGCGGUCCCUCAAAAACAGUGGCGGGCUCGCUAGUCACACCGAGCGUAGUAACUCUACAUCGCUAUGGUCGUGCGGCGGGUUCUUGCCGUAAAACCCCCCAAUUUCUAAGGUUGACCUCGGAUCAGGUAGGAAUACCCGCUGAACUUAAGCAUAUCAAUAAG
RNAcentral lists this ribosomal RNA (591 nucleotides) under Gelasinospora saitoi. RNAcentral describes it as "eukaryotic LSU rRNA". The stretch from base 232 to 385 matches the Rfam family "5.8S ribosomal RNA". The record is from RNAcentral. Lineage: Eukaryota; Fungi; Ascomycota; Sordariomycetes; Sordariales; Sordariaceae.